This 420-nucleotide ribosomal RNA is filed under the name uncultured bacterium. RNAcentral describes it as "bacterial SSU rRNA". It matches the Rfam family "Bacterial small subunit ribosomal RNA", at positions 28 to 414 of the family's 1533-position model. The record is from RNAcentral.
GACGAACGCUGGCGGCGUGCCUAAUACAUGCAAGUCGAACGCACUCUCGUUUAGAUUGAAGGAGCUUGCUCCUGAUUGAUAAACAUUUGAGUGAGUGGCGGACGGGUGAGUAACACGUGGGUAACCUGCCCUAAAGUGGGGGAUAACAUUUGGAAACAGAUGCUAAUACCGCAUAAAACCUAACACCGCAUGGUGUAGGGUUGAAAGAUGGUUUCGGCUAUCACUUUAGGAUGGACCCGCGGUGCAUUAGUUAGUUGGUGAGGUAAAGGCUCACCAAGACCGUGACUGCAUAGCCGACCUGAGAGGGUAAUCGGCCACACUGGGACUGAGACACGGCCCAGACUCCUACGGGAGGCAGCAGUAGGGAAUCUUCCACAAUGGACGAAAGUCUGAUGGAGCAACGCGCGUGAGUGAAGAAGG